Triticum aestivum (bread wheat) is the source of this 3489-nucleotide long non-coding RNA. RefSeq lists it as uncharacterized. Lineage: Eukaryota; Viridiplantae; Streptophyta; Magnoliopsida; Poales; Poaceae. The record is from RefSeq and is a predicted model, not a curated record. The transcript is spliced from 6 exons.
CUGUAACGAAGUCCACGUCAGCAAAAAUCUGAGCUGGAGAAAGGAGAGAGAAGGAGCGGGCUCUUCGUGAGUCGCCGGGCUAAGACACAGAACUCGAGAACUUUCCGCCCGCUUGCAGCCUGAUGCGAGCGCUAGCGCCGCCGCUUCCGAUCCCCUGCGUCUCCCUUGCCUCGUGCGCUUGUUCUUCCAGCUCUGCGCGCGAAAUCAAUCCUUGCCUCACUCCAAAUUGCUUGAUGCGCGCCAAAUCGCCUCCAGCUUCCCCGAAAUCGCCAUCGCUCCGGAACCCUAGAACAGCCGGCGGCGCCGCAUCAACGAGAUGGUCAGCACUCAGCGGUCCAAAAGGACGGGUGCACCGGCACUCGCCCCGUCGUCGCUACCUCAGUUCGUUCCGCCGUUGAUGCAUCAUCUCGUCCCGCCGUCGGCGCCACAGCUAAUCCUGCCAUCGGCGCUGCACCUCGUCCCGCCGCUGGCACCUCACCUUGUCCCACCACCACGCCAGCCCACCAAAGGCAGCGGCGGCCUCUACACCAUGCUGGCUCCCCCAGACGCAAGGCCCCUUGUGGUACAGGGAUAUUGACAAUUUGACUCCAGAAGCAUGGGGAGUGGAUUCUCACCCACGUGGUGGGUUCCUUGGUUUAUUUAACAACACGCCAAGCCUUUCACAAUCUUGAGGCUCGGAAGCUUCCAUGCCUUGCAGCAAAAGAUCACAAGGAGUCAGUCAUGCUAGAAACAUACCGCUCGUUGAUGAUGCAAGACACAACUAGGAUGUCUGAAGAUGUGAGAUGUGAGCACGUGUUGGCAUUGAAGUGUUUCCGGGAGAAGCUAUUUGGCAAAACUGACUAAGUGGCUGGAGAUUAUUGAUGCAGAUGGAUUCGUCGCUCUUUUCUAUUGAAAUUCCAACUUAUCAUCGUCAAGAUCAAAACUAAUGGCUUGUUUGCAUUGUCUCUUGUUUGCUUAAUGUUCUCUUAAAAAGACUGGUGUGAUGUUUAAGUGUCGAUGCCAUGGUGUUAUGUGCCAUCAGUUUGUUCGUUAUGAUUAAAACUAACGGCUUGUUUGCCGGGCGUCUUAUUUAGUUCUAUGUUUGGUUAAUGCUUCCUUGGGAAGACUCAAGCAAUGUUCAACUGUGGUGUCAUGGUGCUAUCUGCUAUGCACACCUGUUUGUUGAUUGUUUAUUAAUCAGUUUUUCUGGGUCUGUUCUAUUGGCAUGAAUGGCAUAUAUGUAUAUAUAAUUAUCGAAACUGCUUGAAUAUUGAUCAGUUUCUUUUGGUAUAUUCUCUUGGCAUGAAUGAUAGAUAUAUGCUGAUUGAAAUGGCCACAAAGAUGUUGUUUGUAUUGGAUCACAACAGGUGAUAUACACAUGCAAAUAUUGAAUGUCCAUGUUUUUAUUAGGGUCAGUCUUAGAGCCAACCUAUAAGCCAGCUUACUGUGUGUGAAGGCUUUAUAGAUGAUGUGGCGGGGGGUUAUAGCCAGCAGCAGGCUGUGCUAUUAACCAUGCUCUAAUGACGGGAAAUAGAGGAUACGUAUCGCAAGGGUGCUGAGCUGUGGGCCAGGAAACGGCGGAAUGCCGGCCACCGUUACCCCGUAGAAGUUGUUCCGUGGCUCGGGACGCCCGCCGCCGUCCUGAUUCGUGGAACAGGAAAAACAGUUUCCGUCUGUCGUCGGGGCAGCGCGUGGAUUGGCUGCUAUUCGGCUGCAUUCGAUCCAUUCCCCACCCCCGCCACAGGCGAGGUCGCCGUGCCAAGGAUCCCUGCCGGCAUGCAAAGGAGCAUCCCGAGAUCUGGCUCAUGGAGUUCCUGAUGCAACCAGAGAAAAGGCCAAGCUGGGAGUGGAGAACACACGCUUGUGUCGUUCGGAGGGCCCUGCUCUGAUUCGGUUGCCAAGAUCAGAGGACUGUGGCUGGUACAUCAUAGAACUCCGACGGAUCUGACGGCGCAAGGGGCGCCGGGCUCAGUUCAUGGGUCGGAUCAGUGGAUCACGUGCCUGCAACAGCCCUCAGCAGGGACGCGCAGAUCCGUGAGGAAGAAAUAGGCCGGUCGGCGAGACGGGAGGGCUCGCUCCAGGUCUCCAAACUGUCCACCAGCAAGAUGAAUCUGCAAGCACCUGACUGGACUUGUGGACAAAGAGCAUUUGAAAAAUUUUCAAGGUGAGGAUUGGAGCAGCGGCACCGAACAGGACACCUUGGCACCUUGCCCCUCCCACGUGUCUGCCUUCGAGAAAGGGCCGAUGGGUUUUGCGGAGAACCAUUCUGAAAAUGCUAUUGUACCGAUGCUUGGGACAAGUUUUGACUCGCUAGGAGAGACGUAUGUUUUCUACAACCUCUAUUCCUGGGAGAAAGGAUCUGCAAAUAAGAUAUGGGAAGAGGAGGUUGAAUGUGGAGAGAAUGAAAUGUGUACAGAAUUUGUGUGUGGACGUUCUGGUUCGUGUUGAGACAGUUUGAACAUGAGGUCUUGUUGGUAUGAGUGCCCUCGCGCUGGUGUUUUCGUUGGUGGUGAGAUAGUUUGAAAGCUUUGAGUGGGUGUUUUCUGAUUUAUAAUAUGAUGGGUGGCACGGUACCCAGGACUAAAGCACCAGGUAAUGCAUAGGUUGAUUGGUAAUGUUUUGUAUUGAUUUCUUAAUAGGUGGUGAUUUGUAGGAAGCGGUUGUUCUGGUCACGAGCACAGGUGAGCGUGGUAUUUGGGCGGCUCGAUAUGUCAUGGGGGUGCGUUGCAUUGAAUUCCUUUGCCAUCUAGUGUCUUUGUUGUUUUAUCUUCUUUCUUUCAUCACCCAAGUAAUUUUCUUUUGUGCUCAAGCAUUCCCUGUUUUCGGAGGCUAAACAUGUUGUGGCUUAAUGAUUACGCCGCUGAAAUCCUUUGAGAACAUGCUCUAACUAUCACUUAUCAUUCAUGCUUGUUAAUUCAGAUUUUCACUAUUAAUCGUAGCUCUUGAUUAUGUAGAUGUAAGCUCACAUUGUUUAAUCUCCCCUCGUUUGUUGAGUUCUGUUAUAUGUUUAAAUUGCAGGAAACAUGUUGGAAGGUGACAAGAAUAAAAGCAAUGAGCCACUUCUCACCUGAUGUGUUUAGUCUUUCGUUUUGGUAUUUUGGAACUUCUCGGAAUCAGGCUCUCCUCUGCUCAUGAUUUCAGGCUUUCAUUUUGUGAUUUUAUGACUCAUCGGUGUUCUUAAUUACUACCUCAUAAGUUCAAUUGGCUAAUACGGUUGGCAUGAACAUAGAUUGUUGCUAAAUUUCAGAGAUGCACUGUCAGUUCAGCUUUUUGUGAUUGCGGAACUGGUCGAAAUAGUUUUAUUUAGCUAGUUUAAAAAAAUUAUUUAGCUCAUAGUUUUUCUACAGAGAAAUGACCAUGUUUAUGACCAAGAAAUGGUCGAUUCAACAUUUUGGAUAUUGCAGUUCUUUUUUUUGGAUAUUUUCUUCUGCAGUUUACCUAUAAUCUUUUUCUGCCAAAUUGUAUUCAGUUUUCCUCUCCCAGCGGCAAGUUCAGCAGUUACCCCUCGUA